RNAcentral lists this ribosomal RNA (3158 nucleotides) under Cylindricascospora bacillispora. Its description in RNAcentral is "Nakaseomyces bacillisporus 21S ribosomal RNA". It matches the Rfam family "Bacterial large subunit ribosomal RNA". The record is from RNAcentral. Lineage: Eukaryota; Fungi; Ascomycota; Saccharomycetes; Saccharomycetales; Saccharomycetaceae.
AUAAUAAUAAAUAAGAUUGAUUUGAAUUAUUUAUUAUAUAGAUUUAAAGGGAUAAUCAUGGAUAUUAAUGUUUAUUAUAAAAAUAAAUAACUAUUAGUAGUAAAUAGGUUACUAAUUAAUUAUAUAGAUUAUAUAAUUAUAAUACCUAAGGUAAACCAUGUAUAUAUUAAUAAUAAAAAAUUAUUAAUAUAAAUAUAUAAAACUAAGUGAAUUGAAAUAUCUUAGUAACUUAAGGAAAAUAAAUCAACAGAGAUAUUAUGAGUAUUGAUGAGAGAAAAUAAUAUAGUCAUGUUAAUUUUAGAUAUAUAUAUAUAUAUGUAUUUAGAAUUAAUUUAAUAAGUAUUAUGUAUUAAUAAUAUGUAAGAACAUUGAAUUACAAAUUCAAAGACUAAAUACUAUUAAUAAGUGUAAAAAGUACCGUGAGGGAAAUAUAGUAAAUGGUUAUUUCAUAAGCAAUCAUAGAUAAUAUAUAUAUUAUUAAUGAUGUACCUUUUGUAUAAUGGGUCAGCAAGUUAUUAAUAUUAGCAAAAAUUAAUAAUUUAUAAAUAAUAUAAUAAAAAUAAAAUAUAUAUAUAAUAAUAUAUUAAAGUUAAUAUUAAUAGACCCGAAAGCAAAUGAUCUUUCUAUGACAAGAUGUUAACGAUCGAAUAGGUUGAUGUUGCAAUAUCAUCUAAUUAGUUGUGGAAUGUUAUGAAAGAUAAAUCUGAUUUGCAGAUAGCUGGUUUUCUAUGAAAUAUAUAUUAGUAUAGCUCUUAUAAAAAUAAUUUAAUUAAUAAUGAUUAUAUAAAAUAAAAAGUAUAUAAUUAUUAUAGAAUGGUACAGCAAUGAAUAUAUAUUAGGGAAUUAUAAUAAUUUUAUUAAUAAUAUUUAAUCUCGGAAUAUUUAAUUAAAUAAUAAUAAGAAGUCAGAUUAUGUGCGAUAAGGUAAAUAAUCAAAAGGGAAACAGCCCAGAUUAAUAUAUAAAGUUCCAAAUUAUAAAAAAAUAAUUAUUAUAUAAAAAAAGUAUAAUAAUAUAUAUAUAUUAAUAAUAAUUAAUUUAUUAUUAAUAAUAAUAAGUGAAAAUAAUAUUAAAAUAUUAUAAUAUAAUCAGUUAAUGGGUUUGACAAUAACCAUUUUUUAAUGAACAUGUAACAAUGCACUGAUUAAAUGUAAUAUAAAUUAUAUUAUAUAUUUCAUAUAUUAAUUAAUAUUAAUAUAUGAAUAAUAAAAAUAAUAUUUCAAAUCAUAAUAUAUAUAUAUCUAUAAUAUAUAUAUAUAUUAUGUUAAUAGAUAAUAUACGGAUCUUAUUAUAUAAUUAUAAAACUGAAUAUUUAAAUAUUAUUAUUAAAAAAAAUAUAAUAAUAAUAUGGUAAUAGAACAUCUAAUGACAAAGAUAUAAAUUUAUUAAAUUAAUAUUAAAAAUAAUUAGAUAGAGAAUGCUGACAUGAGUAACGUUAAAGAGGUUUAAGCCUUUUCACCUAAAGCAUAAGGUUUUAUUAUAAAAGUACGGCCCCUAAUUUAAUUAAGAAUAAUAAAUAUAUUAAAGAUGGGUAAAUUCUAAUAAUUAAUGAAAUUAAUUAUUAUUAAUUAAAUUAAUAAAAAUUUAUUAAUAAAUUAAUAAACUAAUAAUAAAUCAGGAAAUAAUUAAUUAUAAAAUACCGUAAUGUAGACCGACUCUGGUAUGUUAGUAGAGAAUAUGAAGGUGUAUUAAAUAAUACGGGAUAAGGAACUCGGCAAAAAUAGCUCAUACGUUAGACAAAAAAGAGAUAUAAAAACAAGGUUGUACAACUGUUUACUAAAAACACAGCACUUUGCAAAAAUCUAAAUUAUAGUAUAAAGUGUGAACUCUGCUCCAUGCUUAACAACUAAAAUAAAUAUUUAAACGAAUAUUUAUCUAAUUUUAAGUAAAUAGCAGCCUUAUUUUGAGGGUUAUAAUGUAGCGAAAUUCCUAGGCCUAUAAUUGAGGUCCCGCAUGAAUGACGUAAUGAUACAACAACUGUCUCGUCCCGUAGUUAAGUGAAAUUGAAAUCGCAGUGAAGAUGCUGUGUAAGUGUAGCUAGACAAAAAGACCCUAUGCAGCUUUACUGUAAUUAGACAGACCGUAUUAUUAUUUAUUUUAUUCAGUAAUAUUAAGCUAUUAUAAUAAUAAUAAUCGAUUAGAUAUAAAUGAGAAACUUAUUAAAAUAAUAUAAUAAUACUUAUCUUAAUAUUAAAUAUAUAUUUAAUAGAUAAUAAAUAAUUCUUAAAUAUAAUAUAUAAUAAUUAUAUAUAUAUAUAUAUAUAUAUAAUUAUUUAUAUAUAGAAGAGACAAUCUCUAAUUGGUAGUUUUGAUGGGGCGUCAUUUUCAGCAAAAGUAUCUGAAAAGUUCAUAUAUAUUUUAUAAAAUUAUAAUAAAUAUAAUAUAUAAUAAAUAUAUUAAUUAUAAAUAAGAAUAUAUCUUAUUUAUCUAUUAUAUAUAAUAAUAAUAAUAGAUUAUAAAGAUAUAUUUUAGUAAUAGAUAAAAAAAAGUAUAGUAAAAUUGUUCUGAAAACAAUAAUAUAUAUAUUUAUUUAAAUAUAAAUAUAAUUAAAAUAAUAUAAUGGUAUAACUAUGCUAUAAUUAUAACACAGACGAGUGAAAUAAGUACGUAAGUAUGACAUAAUGAACAAAUAAUACUUAUUGUAAGGAUUAUUGAUAACGGAUAAAAGUUACGCUAGGGAUAACAGAGUAAUAUAACGAAAGAGUAGAAAUUGUAAGUUAUGUUUGCUACCUCGAUGUCGACUCUACUUUUCCUCUUGGUUGCAAAAGCUAAGAAGGGUUUGACUGUUCGUCAAUUAAAAAGUAACGUGAGUUGGGUUAAAUACGACGUGAGUCAGUAUGGUUUUUAUCUGCUACACUAAAUAUUAUCAUAUUAAGUCUCAUUAUUAGUACGCAAGGAUCAUAAUGAAUUAACCUAUGGUGUAUAUAUUGAUUAUUAUAAUAUAUAUAUAUUAUUAAUUAAUUUAUUAUAUAUAUAUAUAUUCUAUAUUAGUUUAUAUAAUAAUAAUAAUCAUUGUAUAGAAGCUAAGUUAAUAAAUAAUAAAUAUUGAAAACAUAUCAAAUAUGAAGUAGUCUUAAAACGAUAAUAAACUGAUAAUCUUAUACUAAGAUAUAUAGGUUAUAUAUAUUAUAUAUAUAAUACUAAUUAAUCAGUUAUCUAU